This 482-nucleotide ribosomal RNA is filed under the name uncultured bacterium. RNAcentral's name for it is "partial 16S ribosomal RNA". It matches the Rfam family "Bacterial small subunit ribosomal RNA", at positions 30 to 507 of the family's 1533-position model. The record is from RNAcentral.
AUUGAACGCUGGCGGCAUGCCUUACACAUGCAAGUCGAACGGUAACAGGUCUUCGGAUGCUGACGAGUGGCGAACGGGUGAGUAAUACAUCGGAACGUGCCUAGUAGUGGGGGAUAACUACUCGAAAGAGUGGCUAAUACCGCAUGAGAUCUACGGAUGACAGCAGGGGAUCGCAAGACCUUGUGCUACUAGAGCGGCCGAUGGCAGAUUAGGUAGUUGGUGGGAUAAAAGCUUACCAAGCCGACGAUCUGUAGCUGGUCUGAGAGGACGAUCAGCCACACUGGGACUGAGACACGGCCCAGACUCCUACGGGAGGCAGCAGUGGGGAAUUUUGGACAAUGGGCGCAAGCCUGAUCCAGCAAUGCCGCGUGCAGGAUGAAGGCCUUCGGGUUGUAAACUGCUUUUGUACGGAACGAAAAGCCCUGGGUUAAUACCCUGGGGUCAUGACGGUACCGGAAGAAUAAGCACCGGCUAACUACGUG